Molecule: ribosomal RNA, 469 nt
Filed under: uncultured bacterium
Lineage: Bacteria
Description: bacterial SSU rRNA
Rfam family: Bacterial small subunit ribosomal RNA
Source: RNAcentral
UUCCAGACUCCUACGGGAGGCAGCAGUGAGGAAUAUUGGUCAAUGGGCUUACGCCUGAACCAGCCAAGUCGCGUGAGGGAAGACUGCCCUAUGGGUUGUAAACCUCUUUUGUCAGGGAGCAAUUGGCGCUACGUGUAGCGUUAUCGAGAGUACCUGAAGAAAAAGCAUCGGCUAACUCCGUGCCAGCAGCCGCGGUAAUACGGAGGAUGCGAGCGUUAUCCGGAUUUAUUGGGUUUAAAGGGUGCGUAGGCGGGCUGUUAAGUCAGCGGUCAAAGGUCGGGGCCCACCCCCGGCCUGCCGUUGAAACUGGCGGCCUCGAGUGGGCGAGAAGUAUGCGGAAUGCGUGGUGUAGCGGUGAAAUGCAUAGAUAUCGCGCAGAACUCCGAUUGCGAAGGCAGCAUGCCGGCUCCACACUGACGCUGAGGCACGAAAGUGCGGGGAUCGAACAGGAUUAGAUACCCCUGUAUAC